UGGGGAAUUUUGGACAAUGGGCGAAAGCCUGAUCCAGCAAUGCCGCGUGUGUGAAGAAGGCCUUCGGGUUGUAAAGCACUUUUGUCCGGAAAGAAAUCCUUGGCUCUAAUACAGUCGGGGGAUGACGGUACCGGAAGAAUAAGCACCGGCUAACUACGUGCCAGCAGCCGCGGUAAUACGUAGGGUGCAAGCGUUAAUCGGAAUUACUGGGCGUAAAGCGUGCGCAGGCGGUUUGCUAAGACCGAUGUGAAAUCCCCGGGCUCAACCUGGGAACUGCAUUGGUGACUGGCAGGCUAGAGUAUGGCAGAGGGGGGUAGAAUUCCACGUGUAGCAGUGAAAUGCGUAGAGAUGUGGAGGAAUACCGAUGGCGAAGGCAGCCCCCUGGGCCAAUACUGACGCUCAUGCACGAAAGCGUGGGGAGCAAACAGGAUUAGAUACCCUGGUAGUCCAGCGCCCUAAACGAUGUCAACUAGUUGUUGGGGAUUCAUUUCCUUAGUAACGUAGCUAACGCGUGAAGUUGACCGCCUGGGGAGUACGGUCGCAAAGAUUAAAACUCAAAUGAAUUGACGGGGUCAUAGCUG
Molecule: ribosomal RNA, 581 nt
Filed under: uncultured bacterium
Lineage: Bacteria
Description: partial 16S ribosomal RNA
Rfam family: Bacterial small subunit ribosomal RNA
Source: RNAcentral